Molecule: long non-coding RNA, 1913 nt
Filed under: Marmota monax (woodchuck)
Lineage: Eukaryota; Metazoa; Chordata; Mammalia; Rodentia; Sciuridae
Source: RNAcentral
UCCCUGCCCAAGACUCGGGCUCUCCUACUUCUAGUCUUCGCCCGCCACGCCCUGGAACUGGGAAGUGCGGACCCUCCGCCUUGCAGAGCGAGAGUCCGGUGCGCUGCGACCUCGAGAGAUCUUCGGGUGGUGGAGGCCGCUCCGCCCCAGCAUAGGCCCUCUUUCCCUGCCGGAAAGAAACGCAAAAAGCUUUAGCCUCCCGCGCUUCCGGCCCCUGGCCUCUAGGGACUAUGGCCUGUGUGGGUGCCUGUUCCCCAGCUGCCCUGGAGUAGGAGGAGACCUGGCUAAGCAGUCCGGGCGCUAAAUUGUCUGCAGUAGUGCAAAUACCUAGAGUGUAUGUGCGAAUCCGAGUUCCACUAAAGGUAAUUGACCCGGGGACAUAGAGGAGGAGAACAUAGAGAAACAAGGUAAAUUUACGCUCAAUGAUUUGAAACCAGGAUAUUCAAUGGAAAGAAAGGAAAAGGAAACACAUGAUAAUUGCAUCAGCCUGGUUUUUGGUGCUUGUGACUUCCAUAGAAAUCUUUCACGUUUUCCGGAAAAAUCAUCUGGUGAUAGUGAUCUAAAAGCGCACCCCCAAAUUUUAUCACAAUUCUAGUAGAGCAGAUCCUAGGGUCACCCAGUGUCUCCCUUUCCUCUUCUCAGUCAGUGCACUCGUUGGAAUGUGGGUGAACAGUUGGGGGAAGGUAGGUGAGAUCUGAAACAAGACAGUGAUGUCAGAAGAGAUCGGGAAAAGGGCGUCCCAAUGAACUGUGUUUAUUUGAAAAGUCUCCUGUAGCAAUCUUGUAUUUUUUCUUAUGUUAUGCCUGAGUUAAUUUGUACAUAACUUAGUGUACAAAGUCAUAAGACUUAUUAUGAAAACAGCAGGACCCCUUCCUCCUCUUCUCACUUCCUGCCUCCUCCUGCUUUUCAGAGGCAACCUUUGAACUCCUUUUAGCUCACUCUUUGGCAAUCCCCUCUGUAUCUCUACGUGACUUGUUAAUGUGGCCACUUAGUGAUUUAAAGCCUUUAUACAUUACUUAUUGACUUCUCACUAGUCUUUUUCCCCAUCAUCACUUUCACAGCCAGGGCUUACUCAUUCACUUGGGCACCUGUAUGGUUAACUAUUUCAGUCCUCUUUAAGUACAGUUGUGUUGUAAUUUGGGUUGUAUCAGCAGUUCAUGUUUAUAUUAGUAUGACUAUGUAAAUAUCAUUCACACAGAAGCUGUGUAAUACACACAUGAUUUCUCUCUUGCGCAACUAUUUGUUUUCUCUAGACCUAAUAACUUUUUUUUCCCCUUUUAGAUUUCUGUGCACUUAUUAGUUCCACCCAGUCUCCCACCAGUUGUCUGCAUCUUGUGUCAAAACAUUUAUUCACAUCAGAUAUUCCCUCAGUCUCCCCUGUCCUGAAACCAUCUCUCCUGGUAUGCUGUCACCUGCUCCACAUUGGACUGGGUGCUCUCUGAGCCUCUUGCCUGGUUCUUCUCAGAAGCAUGAGUCUAGUAAUCCCUUUUGCUUCUCAUUCGUAUUGUUUCUUUUGCUUAUGAAUUCUUUCUGUUCUUCUUUCUUGGUUUACUGUCUUUGGGGGAGAUGUCCAUUCUCUUAGUCUCAUAAAAAGCAGAAUGUUUUCAAGAUUGUGUGUUUCCAGUUUUCCUAAAUUUCAUGAUGACAUGCCUUGGUAUGGAUCCAUUUCCAUGCAUUGUCAAGGUUAUUCUGGGAACCAUCAGUAUUUAGAAGUGCUUGUACUUCAGGUCUGAGAAUGUGUUUUGGUGAUUUCUUCAUUGAUGAUUUCCUCCUCCUUUUUUUUUUGUUUGUUUUUGUUCUCUCAGAUCUUCAGAAUUGAUUCUUAAUUUUUUAAAAAUGAUCUUCUCAUUUUCAAUUUCUUUUUCUUUUCUCGAUUUCAAGAUUUUUUUCCUUUCAUCUUCUAAACAUUCUUG